CGAAAGUUACGCUAAUACCGCAUAUUCUGUGAGCAGGAAAGCAGGGGAUCGCAAGACCUUGCGCUGAUUGAGCGGCCGAUAUCAGAUUAGCUAGUUGGUGAGGUAAAGGCUCACCAAGGCGACGAUCUGUAGCGGGUCUGAGAGGAUGAUCCGCCACACUGGAACUGAGACACGGUCCAGACUCCUACGGGAGGCAGCAGUGGGGAAUUUUGGACAAUGGGCGCAAGCCUGAUCCAGCCAUGCCGCGUGAGUGAAGAAGGCCUUCGGGUUGUAAAGCUCUUUCGGCCGGGAAGAAAUCGCACAGGUUAAUACCCUGUGUGGAUGACGGUACCGGAAUAAGAAGCACCGGCUAACUACGUG
Molecule: ribosomal RNA, 360 nt
Filed under: uncultured bacterium
Lineage: Bacteria
Description: bacterial SSU rRNA
Rfam family: Bacterial small subunit ribosomal RNA
Source: RNAcentral